CUCUUUCUUCCUCUCUACUCAUCAGACCGACAAAGUUUAACAGCAAAAGGGGAGGAGAGGUAAAGGAGAGACAGUGGAGUAGUACUGGUACUAGGAGGAGGAGGAGCAAUUAUAAGAGCAAUAGAAGUGCCAUGCCUUGUUCCUCUGCUAGCACUGUAUCUGGUGGCGUUGGUGGUGGAGGAGGCCGAGAUGAUAAUGGUUCGCUUCGUUACUUCAAGCUGAACGAGUCCACCUUUUUGGCUUCUCUCAUGCCUAAGAAGGAGAUUGGCGCCGAUCGCUUGAUUGAUGCUCAUCCUGAGUUUGGCGGACGUGGCGUAGUUUUAGCUAUUUUCGGUACUACUGCAAUACUCGCCUGAUCAUUCUCUGUUUGACCUUCAUAGGAGAAGUUUGAUUGAUUACUUGCGUAAGAUAUGGCUUGAAUUUAUUAGAUUUUGGAGUUGACCCGGCUGCUGCUGGAUUGCCAUUGACCUCGGAUGGGAAGCCUAAGAUCCUCGAUGUUAUUGACUGGUAUUAACAAAGUUACUUAGCUUUAUUAUUAGCAGUUUGUUGAUGAAUUUUUGUCCUGAGGUAUUUCCCAUUUCUAUUUCUCCAGCACUGGGAGUGGAGACAUUGAUACUUCGGAAGUCGUGAAAGCUGAUGCAGAUUGUUGCAUCCGCGGGGCUUCAGGCUGGCCCUUGAACUGUUAUCGUUAUUCUUGUUGACUAUACUGAUUGUGCUCUUUCAUUUUUGUUUUUGUUUUUUGUUUUUUUUUUUUUUUUUUUUUUUUUUUUGGAGCUGUCAUAUUAGUGUGAGAAAAUUGUGCUGUUCUUUUAUGGUAAUAGUAAGUUGCAUUAGCUCUGAACUCUGUGAAUGGUUGUAAUGAAAUGUGUUUGAUAGGAGCUGCUCUGGCUGUCAAUUCCUCAUGGAAAAACCCUUCCGGUGAAUGGCACGUUGGUUAUAAGUUGGUGUAUGAACCAUUUACUGCCACAUUAACUGCACGUUUGAAGGUAGCAUUGUUGUCCUCACUUCUUUGUGCAAUGCAAACUGUACAACUAAACUUCGGCACUAGUAAUUUGCUUAAUAAACAUAAAUUUGCUUCCCCUUUUCUAAUUGACAGAAAGAAAGAAAAAAGAAGUGGGAUGAGAAAAACCAGGAAGAAAUUGCUGUGGCAGUAAAGCAUCUUGACGAAUUCAAUCAGGUUUUUGGAAAUCCUGCUUGAUUUCUUCGUUGCAUGUGUAUCAUCCGUCUGAUGUCUGUGUGUUGUAUUUUUUUGGGGUUUUUAAGUGUUGAAAAUUUUUGAUUAUUUUCUUUUUAACAAUUUUGCGCCCCUGCUAGGUUUGUGAAUUUUACAGUGUAAACGGAUUAGUAAUGCAUAUGCAGCAAUGAAAUAUCAUUUCAUACAAUUUGGAUUCUUAAAUAAUUCUACAGAAACUGUUGUUUCAGGGCUGAAAGGAAAUUUGGUAUGUUCAGCAAUUUGGAUGCAUGCUCAGUUGUACUUAAUCUAUAUGAUGAGGGAAAUGUCUUAAAUAUCGUAACUGAUAGCGCCCCUCAUGGUACUCAUGUAGCUGGUAUUGCGACAGCCUUCCACCCAAAGGUACUGCCAUUUUAAGUUUGUUGCAUUCUUUCUACUGUAGAAUGUUUGACAUUUGGGUUUUUUCAUUGAUGAAUUUCUCAGAAGACGCUACUGAAUGGAGUUGCCCCCGGAGCUUAGUUAAUAUCAUGCAAAAUUGGAGACUCACGUUUAGGUUCAAUGGAGACAGACACUGGCUUGACGAGGGCCCUGAUUGGUGCUGUGGAGGUGGGUUCAAUUUAUUCCACAAUAGUACGUCCACCUUAAUUAAAUAGUAUUUUUGUAUUUCUAAAAUUACCAUUUUAAAAUUUUUUUUACUAUUAUUAUUUCUAAAAUUUCUCUAUUUCUUAAAAAAAUUUUAAAGUUUUUCUUUAAUUUUUUGUGUUGUGAUUGGCCAACUUAAGUAGUUUAAUUAAUUAUUUACUAAAGUCCUCCAUAUUUAAGUAUUUGAGUUGUUUAAAUUAUACACCCAAUAAAAAUCUAGAUAUGAUUAAUUUUUAAAAUUAUUUAAAAUUAUUGAACUUUAUCUAUAUAUAAUUAUUUAUCCUAGAAUGCAGCAUUUGAGUUGUUUAAAUUAUAUACUCAACUAAAAAUCUAACUACAAUUAUUAACUAUUUCUAUAAUUUUGUUUAAUUGUUAUAUUUAAUUACUUUUUAUAGGAAAUUAAAACAACGAUGAGCAACAUUCUUGAUAAAUAAUAAAAAAUAUAAAAUCAACAAGAGUACAUUAGAAAAUAAAACAAUUAAUUAUUUUUGGACAAAUGGAAAAGAAAAGGCAAGUGUAUGUUUAUGAAACAAGAAAAUUAUUAUAAAUAAAAACAGAAAUCCAUUUUCAAUCUUGGACGAGACUGGAAUACUAUACUUGGAAACUUUGGAGCUCACAUGUCAAAUCCAUUAUUUAAUGUAAAGUUUCACAGAAAUGCAUUUAUGCAACUUGCAUGCUAUGGGUAUUUUCAAAUGUAAACUUUUUAGUUUUUAAUCCCAAACAAGACAAUCAGCUUUUCAAUUUCAUGCGUCAAUCCUCCUCGAAGCUUAAACGCAUUCCUAAAUUUCCUUCUCUCAUCAUUACUUCAAUCUCUUUUCUUAAGUACUUACAUUUAUGCUAUAUUUGGAAAGGAGAAGAAGUAAAAUUAGAGAGGAAGGAAAAUAAGAGAGGAUUAUUACCGUUCAUUUUCCCUCCUUAUUUUCCGCCCUAUAUUUGGUUUCGAAGGAAAAUGAGAGGUAGAAAGGAAAACAAUAUUCUUAUAAAUUUAAAAGUUCUGUACUUUUUAGGAACAGUAAAAAUUUCCCUUCAUUUUCAUCACCUCCUCUCCGAUUUGGAGAGAUUGAGAAAUUGUGUGUACCGUAGGAAAAUAUUGAGAGUUUUCCUCUCUCCAAAUUUUCUCACUUGUUCCGAACAGAAGAAAUUGAGAAUUGCAAGGUACUGUCUACCCUUUUUUUUUUUCCUCCCACAAAGUCAUCCAUUCCCAAACAUAAUGUUAACGUCGAUUUCCAUAUAUAUAUUUCCUUCGUAUCGACGACGUAGAUUUCCCAGCACGCUCUUUAUAGUAUCGUUUUUAAUUUAUAAUCUACCUCAACACAUUGGAGAUUUGAAUUAAUUGAUGUGCUUCGGCUAUAAAUUCUCUUUAAUUUGUAUGAGAUUCAUUGUAUUCGUCUUCUGCAUUUCAACCAGCUCUCUAGCUAGCUCGCGAAGAUGAAGAUGGCAGUAGCGAUGUUCCUGAUUUUGCUGAAUUGCGCUCUAUGGCGCAUUUGCUUGGCCGGCCGGCUUGUGGUGGACAUGACUCUGGUUCAAAAUGCUUCGGCUCUCGGUGCCUGUAACUCUCUUUCUUCUCCUUCUUGUUCUUCCUUUUUGAAGGGAAAAUUUUUUUUAAAAAAUUAUUGGAGAAUAAAGUGACAUUUGUUUAUUUAUUAUUUAUUGGUCAGGCGAUUAUUAUUCCUGGUUUUUUUAACAGAUUUUUUUUUUUUUUUUGGCUUGUGAAUGUUCGUAGUUUGUUUGGAUGGAAGUUUGCCGGCAUAUCAUUUGCAUAAAGGAUCCGGAGCUGGUGCAAACAACUGGAUUUUGCAGUUCGAGGUAAGCUCUCUGCUUCCGCUUUUUAAAAUUAAGCAAAGGAGUGAAAAGGAGCGCGAAACAAAAUUGGAUUAGAAAAAGACUCCAAUUAGAACUUGCCACAUAUGCAGUUCUGGGAUUGAAAUUGUUUUUCGAAAAUCAAUACGGCAUCGUUGUUCUUUUCCUCAGUGUCCUGUGACUUGUGGGGCGAUAUUGCCUUUUGCAAUUUGCACUUCUCAUACCGCGUUAUUGCCUUAUUGGAGACCAUUGAGAAGGAACCUGGAAAGCCCACGGUCGGGAUAGAAAAAGUAGCGUCAAGUCGUAUAAGCGAAGUUGGAGGGAAAAGCUGUAACUUAACGCUUUUAUUUGGAAAAACACAGGAAAAAAAUUUUAAAAAAAAGUGAGAAAUGAAAAGAAGGAAGAAAAAGAAGGUGGUAAAGAAAAUUUUGAGAAAAAUAUGUAUCUCUGGGCAGUUUUUCUUAUAACAGUCAAACUAAAUCUGUUCGAUUUGAUUCAAUUUUUUAAAAAUUUACUUUUGAUGCAAUUUAAUAAAAUAAAAAUAAACAUUUUUUGAUUUAAUUGACUUCAAUUAAAACCUCAAAAUCAAAUUGACCGAUAUGAAAAUAAGUCAAAAUAAAAAAUCAAAUAAAAUGGAAUUAAUUCAAUCCAAUUUCCUAUUUGUCCACCCCUGCUAUGAAGAUUGUUAUAACUUUUUCUAUUUUCCUCCGAUAUGAAGAGAAAAUUUUGGAAGAAAAAUAACACUCCCUUGUUUUUUUUUUUUUUUUCAAUUUUCCAGAUAAGCUAAAAUAUCAUUUCCUUUUUAACAUGCAUUGGCGGGCCCAACAGCUUUAGCAUAUGGGCCUCUUUAUACAUAAUGUUCAUAUAUUCACCGAACGAUUAUGAACUUGUUGAUAGGGAGGUGGGUGGUGUUACGAUUUAAAAUCAUGCUUGGAGAGAGCCCCAACACGCCGUGGAUCUACAGAGCAAAUGAACAAGCGGGCGUAUUUCAAUGGAAUCCUAAGCGACGAUGCUUCUCUUAAUCCAGGUAAAUUAACAUUUCUUAAUUCCAGAAUUCACAGUCCAUCAUUUUAAUUUCCAUGUUUAACGAAUUAAAUUUAUCAUCUCAAUCGUAUCUAUAUGGCAUUUAUUUAGUUUGUCAGCUAUGAAUUGCGUUUUUAAUGAAGGGUAUUUCUGGAAAUACAGCACAUUUGUCCAUUUCCCUCACAUUUUCUGUUGGCCCAUUCACGUGAUGAAUAGGAGGGCCAAACGCGAUUCCUUUUGUCUGUCGGCUUUUGUUAGCUGUAGCCUUACUGUUGGGGCUUCCAUAAAUAACAAUGGUGCCUCGUUGUGAAGCUAUUCAAAAUGGAAGUUCACCCUUAAAUAUGGCUAUUGGCUAACAUAAUAUACUGUAUAACUGCCACACAAAUCUACUACGAAUAAUUACAAACCACUGUCUGUGUUCAGAUCUCAGAUUUUAUAUUUUUCUUCUGGUUAGAAUAAUUGCAUUGCAUUCUUUUAUAACCCAUUAAUUAAAUUCUGUUAAUCAGAUUUUUACAACUGGAACCGUGUGAAGCUUAGAUAUUGUGAUGGAGGCUCAUUUGCUGGAGAUUCCAUGUCUGAAAAUGGGGUAUCUCUUUCACCCAGAUUUCCUUUUCCUGGACUAGUUGUUCACUCUGCUGAAUUUGUGCUUAGCAUUGGAAAAUUUAUUGUCCGGAGUCUUCAAAAUUUCAUUUGAACUCGAUAUUGUUGGUUAAGAUUUCUUUGGUGACAACAAAAGAACCAUCCAAAAGAUCAAUAUGUUGCAUCAGGUUUCGUUUUAUAAUGACUUAGAUAUAUAAUCACCUGCCUUGGUAAAUUUAUUUAAUGUACGCUAACAAUUUAGCUGUGAAUAGAGAAACUUAUUGUAACCGAUAAAACAGUUCGUAGUAAUUCUUAAUUUUAUCUUUCUUGCAAAAAUUCAAUAAUCUCUGAUCAGAAAAAACAGUUGCCUGCUUUGUUUGUAGUGGUGAAUUGCAGCUUUUUUUUUCUUUUUUUUUUUUUAAUAUAUUCAAGGAAGACACUCUGAAACGAUUAGAGGGAUUUCAUUGCUGGAUACUAUCCUUUUGUUAUUUUAUUUCGUAUUUCUGAUGCACACCUGCUGGAUGUCAUUGUAUCAAAAGAUGAAUCUAAAAAUGGCCUUUUGAUUUGUGUUGGAAUGACAAGUUCUGUUAUGAUAUUUUAUAAAAAGACAUUGUUUGCUCUAUUAACUUUUUCCUUUUUGUACUCAUAAAACAGACAGUCAUUUAUUUCAGAGGACAAAAGAUUUGGGAGGCAAUUAUUCAAGAUCUUCUCCCACAAGGGUUAGCGCAGGCAGAAAAGGUAAAAGCUACUCAACGCAAGAAUUUGAUUUGCCUCUUCACCCAAAUUGUGGCGUUCAUUUAACAUGCAUAAGUGACCGGUGACAACUAAUUGAACUCAUCCCAAAAAUAAAAAAUGUGAUCCUCUUUGGUUAGAUUGUAAUAUUUCCUCGUCAUUUCGAUAUUAAUUUCAUGAUCUACUCCUGUAGGCUAUGCUUUCAGGUUGCUCUGCUGGGGGUUUAUCAGCCUUUCUCCAUUGUGACAGCUUUGCUCAAGUUUUACCGAAAACUGCCACCGUGAAGUGCUUGAGUGACGCAGGAUUUUUUCUGGAUGCGUAAGAUUGUACUUUCUUGCACGGUGUAACAAGAACCUUUAUCACUUACUUAAAAUAUUCCUUUAUUCCUUUUGACAGAAAAGACAUCAGUUUGAACUACAAGAUGAGGUCCGCCUUUCAAAGUCUUGUUACUUUGCAGGUAAAACUCUUGAAAAUGUACUGUGCCUCUACAACAAUAUAUUUGAAAUGCACAGUGAAACACUUAUUUUGUGUUUCACGUAACUUCAAUCACACUUCACUAAUUGCCACUCCCCUCAAUCGUUCUCAUAAUAUUUUGACAUUAUAAUCUAAGGAAUGUCCUUGUAUUUGCGCGCUAUUUUCUCCAACCACUAAUAUGAUGUAAAGCUCUUUGUAAACAUUAUGCUCUUUGAAGUUCCAACCUUAUCUUAAUUUGCUUUUACAAGUCAAAGUAAGCUCCUCAAUUCAGUAUUUCAGUGGAUGUUUUCCAUCAGCCUGUAGAUUGCAUUUUCUCAUUGAUUGCUUGUGUUUUAGCUGGGGAUAGGGUUAGGAGAAUGAAUUCAUCCUUCGGCAUGGAUUUGCGCUUAAUGCAUAAUCGGUGAGCAAAGAUAUUCCGGCACAACAUCUGAACAGUAAAACUGAAGUUGCUACAUAACAACUGAACAUAAUUUGUCGCUUUCUUUAGAAAAAUAUGUGAAUUAGGAUGCACAUAAGAAAACCCCUAAACAAGUUAAACGUGUUAACAGAACUUCUAGUAUGUUGUGCAAGUUAUAAAUAUUGCCAAUUUUACUAACCAAAUAUAUUCUUCACGGCAGGGGAUAGAAAAGAAUCUCAACAAAGACUGCACCAAUUCCUUGGAAGAUCCGAAACUGGUAAAUUUUUUUCUUGACUUAUGUUUUCCUCUAAUCUUUCCUUGCUGUUUGGUACGUCUAAUAUUUACGUUGUUUCGUAUGUAUUACGCAGUGCAUCUUUCCACAAUAUGCAUUGAAGUUCAUUAAAACACCAUUCUUCAUCCUGAAUACAGCUUAUGAUGUGUUCCAAGUAAAUAUUUACUAGCCUUCUUGAAUCUGAAAUCAUCCGAAAUCACGCAACACACACACCAUUGAAGUCACACUUUAUACUAGGUUCAUCAAAUCAUACAGAAUGAUUGAAAUUUUAAAGUUCAACAGUUGAACCAUAUAUUGGUGCCUCCUUCUGCUGACUCGCGCGGACAAUGGAAGAGUUGCAAGCUGGACAGAGCACAGUGUGAUGAAAAGCAGAUAGAGACAUUACAAGGUUUGGUCUCUGCAUGUUCCGACAAACAUUCUUUAUGAAUUUUGAAAUUUUACAAAUUAUACAAACCAAUCACUUUGUUGUAUUGAUUUCUUGUGUCCAGGUUUCAGAAGUGAAAUGCUGACGGCCCUGGAUUUCCUCAAAAAUUCCACCCAUGGGGGAAUGUUUAUAAAUUCUUGCUUUGCUCAUUGUCAAAGCGAGUCCCAGGAGACAUGGCUUGCGGUUGACUCCCCAAGGUUAAACGACAAGGUACAGAGCUUACAUUCUGCGCAUUAGGCUUCAGAAUAUUAUUUUCUCUUAUACAUGCUUUGACAUCACUAUCCAUUGACUUGAUAGGCUAUUUUAGGCUCUUAAUUAAAUGAGUUCAAUUAUGCUAUUUUUUCAAUUCAAGCUGCAACAAAUUAUAAAUGAACUACCUCCAGUUCAAAUUAGCUCAUUUUCAGAUAUAACAUAAUCUGAUCACAUAAAGAAAUAAUCAGACAAUUUAAGACCUAAUUUUGGAAUGUGCUUGUCUAAUUUGCAUGAAGGCUUGUUCAAUCCACUCACACAGUUAUGCCGUUCUGUUUCUUUAACAAUGUCCUGAAUUAAGCUGGAUCAGAGCAACUCUUGUUGUCAUCUUCUCAUUUCCAUUGUCUUGCUGAUUUUAAGUUUGGUUGUUGAAUCCUUUACCCCAUUUUAUUAAUAAAACUCAUCAAUGUCGCUGUGAAUAAUAUCUCUACCUUAUUUGGCAGACCAUAGCAGCAGCAGUUGGUGAUUGGUAUUUUGAUAGAAAUAUAACCAAAGAGAUUGACUGUCCAUAUCCUUGUGACAAUAACUGCCAUAACAUUACACCAUCAUCCCCGGUACGUAAUCUCCUCCUAAAUCAAAAUAUUUUUAAUAUCAAUGCUCAAUGUGUUAUUGUUGUCGCUAAGAUGCCAAUAUUGCAGGAUUCGGAAUCAUAAAUGGAAAAAGAUUCUUGUGGGUUUCUCUCUUUCUUGAAGUUCCAACAAAAGAUAUUGGAUUAUGCAAGGGGAAGAGUGAAAGGAAGAUAUACUAAAAGGAGUAUAUAGCUAUCGAUAUUUAAAUAAAUUUUAGAGCGGAAAAAAAUUAUAAGAUCCGCAAUAUCUCUGUAUUUUAUAGUAAAGGAAUAAAAACAUUCUUCAAAUUCGUAAUUGUUGAUCAUUGAUGCUAGAAAUAUGAGAGCCACUUUAAUUAUUCAGCUGAGUGAUGUGCUUUAACACAUAAUUUUAAUUGAUUUUCCAUUUCGGUUUCGGAUACACAACUAUACUGCUUACAGAAAAUUACAUGCCAAAGCUAUCAUUUAGAAAAAUUAUUCGGCUAUUUAUUUGCUCCAAUUCACGACAUAGAUUUAUAAUUUUUUUUUUUCUUGUUGGGACUACUCGGAUGCUCCCCUUUUUCGAUUUCUCAGUCACACACUUGAGAGUGAUCCUGAUGGCUGCGAAGAUUGCCGCAAAAGUCACAGGGAAACCAACACUGCCAUUAUCCAUGGCAUCAGUAUGGGCUGAUUUUCCAGUGACUCCCUGAAUUUGAAUUUUAGGAGAUUUCAAUAAUGAUCUUGUAAAAUAUGAAAGUGCAGGGUCUGGAUAUCCCGUAAAGUUUAAAGAGCCAUAAGGAUAAUCAUCGAAAGUAUAUUGUUAAUCUAUACAUUAAGCUACUGAAUAAAUUACAUAGGAAACAAUAAAAAAAAAAGUGUUUAUUUAUAUAGGGAGAUGUAAUUUUUUCCAUGCUGUGUAAAAAAGUAAAGUUUUUUUGCCCUUUCGAUAAGUCUUUUUCCCCUCGAAAUAUCUAAGUUUAUCCAUUUUUUCAAAUCCGUGUUGUUUUAAGUUUAAAAAAAAAAAACUCUAAUAUCGUAAAUCAAUUAAUUUGAUGAAGACAUUGAUAAAAUUGGUAAUUUGAUAAAUUUGUAAAUCAACUGGUAAAAAUAAAUAAAUAUAGCAUCCUAAAAAGGUGGUCACACUGUAUCGGAACUUAACGAAGGGCUUGGAAGUUGGAAAUUUCUUAUUCCAUUAGCAUCUUCUUUGAAACAUAACGAUAAGAUACAGUAAUAAAAUUCGUAAUUUAACUGUCUACAUAUGGAAAUGGCAAAAUUUUCUUAAUAAAAAUGGAAAAUAGAAAAAAUAUCUGCGGAUUUGUGACCUCAAUAAGGAAAAGGCCACGCCAUGUCAAUAGUAGUCUCACCACAUAAGAGAUUUACGCCACCCAAUCCCAUCCAACAAACCGCCGCAGCCAUCCGCUAUUACUUCACCAGGUGGCGCUCUAUUACCUCCGCCGCAGUACACUCUGCCCAUCAGUCAUCACCGAUGACCGCCCUCCCACGCUAAUAUUACUAAAACGCCCUUACAUUUUGUCCAAAAAACAAAUGCAAAGCCCAGUAUUUAAGACCAUCUGUUGGCCCAAAACACCGUCAUUUUGCUUCCAAGUUGAUGCUCUUUCUUCCUCUCUACUCAUCAGACCGAAAAAGUUUAACAGCAAAAGGGGAGGAGAGAUAAAGGAGAGACAGUGGAGUAGUACUGGUAGUAGGAGGAGGAGGAGCAAUUAUAAGAGCAAUAGAAGUGCCACGCCUUGUUCCUCUGCUAGCACUGUAUCUGGUGGUGUUGGUGGUGGAGGAGGCGGAGAUGAUAAUGGUUCGCUUCGUCGCUUCAAGCUGAACGAGUCCACUUUUUUGGCUUCUCUCAUGCCUAAGAAGGAGAUUGGCGCCGAUCGCUUCAUUGAUGCUCAUCCUGAGUUUGGCGGACGUGGCGUAGUUAUAGCUAUUUUCGGUACUACUGCAAUACUCACCUG
RNAcentral lists this long non-coding RNA (10276 nucleotides) under Jatropha curcas. RNAcentral describes it as "long non-coding RNA (JCUR_LNC003229)". Lineage: Eukaryota; Viridiplantae; Streptophyta; Magnoliopsida; Malpighiales; Euphorbiaceae. The record is from RNAcentral.